This is a long non-coding RNA of Cololabis saira (Pacific saury), 1584 nucleotides long. RefSeq lists it as uncharacterized. The transcript is spliced from 4 exons. NCBI's taxonomy places the organism in Eukaryota, Metazoa, Chordata, Actinopteri, Beloniformes, Belonidae. The record is from RefSeq and is a predicted model, not a curated record.
AUACAAAGUACAUUUGGAUUACUUCAACACCACCGUUGUUUUUAUGCAAUACUUAAAAAUCCAUCCAUCUAUUCUUCAAAUUUAAUGGUGAAUUAUGAAUAAACAUGAACAGCAACAACAUAGAGCACCUUUCAAUUGACCAUAUGCUUUUAUAUAAUGCAGUAGUCACCAGUAUUUCUAAUUUAAAAAAACAGUACAACCUUGUGUAUUUCUUAUCAUCACAUGGAAAGUACAUAUUCCAAAGCUUGGAUUGUUUCACUUACAUUUUACAGCAAUCAAAAAACACAUAACAUAACUGAAAAAUUAAGUCUUUGAUUUUGCAUGAAAACAGUUUGUUAAAGUUCAACAUUUUGAGGCCAGGUACAGUGCCUUGAAAAAGUAUUCACCCCUAUGAUUUUGUUUGUAUUUUGUUAUACCACAACUGUUAGACUAUUACUAUUACCAUUUUUGUUUUAAGGCACACCAAGAAUACACACUGAUAUGUAAUCCCUAUUUUUUACAAUUUGGCAGUGAAAAUUUGCAUGUGGUGCAUUUUUCACAUUUUUCAAAUUGACCCUGAAGUAGCCUACUCGCGGCUGCGCUGCCGCUGAUUGGUUUCCCCCGAAUGCAGCCUGCUUGAAUGAAGCUGAAGGAAACGUCGUCAUAGUCGACAAUGGCGCAAUGCAAGUUCGGGAUGUUUUAUUUUAGGGACAACACAAUUCACGUCGAAAGUACUGACAUUGUGACACCUCAGUACAGACAGCAGCUUGUUCAGGUAUUAAAACGGCCGGACCUGUCGAGUGAAGACGGAUGGAUACAAGUGUGCUGGCCGACCAGGAAAGCACCUAAAGACAAGGUGGCCGCAAAACCGCUCCUACUCGAGACAACUACAAGGAGUUGAUGGAAAGAAAAGAAGCCUUCCUCAAGGAUGAAGACAUCUGGCACAUGGCAGUUGCAAGGAGAAGGACCUCACCUUGUACCACAACAUAUGACGGAAGCAAACCAAAGAAAAAAAGAAUUACUGCAACUUCCAGUCUCACUUCAGAUGAAGAUGAAACACAGAUUGACCCAUCACAAGUUCUUCAAACAAAUAUACAGUUAUUGCUGAAUUUCCAGGAACAACUGUGUCUGAUGUGAGAGCAGUGAUUCGGAGAAAAUGUAACGAUGAGAAUUUUGUGACCAAAAAGAAACAGUAAGCAGUAACAUCAGUAACUGGUUGUAAUAGUUUUUGUUUGUUUAUUUUUUGGUGGACAUACAUUUUGAGUUUACACAAACUGUGUCCAUGUUUCAAAAGUCAGUUUAAUGUUAAUUUCUGUCAUUACUAGCUUCUCUGCGGUGCACAGCUAGCACAUCUAUUGUUUCUUCUGAAGAUCAAGCUGUUCAGGUCUCUGUAAAAUUUGUUGAUAAACUUUUUUCUUUUUUUUGUGAACUUAAUAUUACUAAAAAUAAUUAUCUGGGGUCAAAUGAUCCAAAUUUGAAAAAAAAUGUUACGAUGAAGAGCAACUGUUUGAAAAUGUUGUUUAGAUGUACUGUACCAACACUAAACUUUACAUCUUUAAGUUGUACUUAAAUGUACUUGAUUUAUGCAUAUUUUUCCUGCAAUGC